GAUGAAGAACGUAGCGAAAUGCGAUAAGUAAUGUGAAUUGCAGAAUUCAGUGAAUCAUCGAAUCUUUGAACGCACCUUGCGCCCUUUGGACUUCUGAAGGGCAUGCCUGUUUGAGUAUCAUGAACACCUCAACUCCUUAUGGUCUUCCAUGAUGAGCUUGGACUUUGGGGGUUUUGCUGGCCUACAGUCAGCUCCUCUAAAAUAAAUCAGCUUACCGGUGUUUGGUGGGUAUCAUGGGUGUGAUAACUAUCUACGCUCGUGGUUUUCCACCAGUAACCUUCAGCAGUGGAGGUUCACUGGAGCUCAUAGAUGUCUCUCCUCAGCGAGGACAGCCCUUUGAAUGUUUGAUCUCAAAUCAGGUAGGACUACCCGCUGAACUUAAGCAUAUCAAUAAGCGGAGGA
This 402-nucleotide unclassified non-coding RNA is filed under the name soil metagenome. RNAcentral describes it as "partial contains 5.8S ribosomal RNA, internal transcribed spacer 2, and large subunit ribosomal RNA". The stretch from base 1 to 120 matches the Rfam family "5.8S ribosomal RNA", at positions 35 to 154 of the family's 154-position model. The record is from RNAcentral.